This 307-nucleotide ribosomal RNA is filed under the name uncultured beta proteobacterium E18_pH4/5/FL. RNAcentral describes it as "bacterial SSU rRNA". It matches the Rfam family "Bacterial small subunit ribosomal RNA", at positions 202 to 490 of the family's 1533-position model. Lineage: Bacteria; Pseudomonadati; Pseudomonadota; Betaproteobacteria. The record is from RNAcentral.
GAAAGCAGGGGAUCGCAAGACCUUGCGCGAAUGGAGCGGCCGAUGGCAGAUUAGGUAGUUGGUGAGGUAAAGGCUCACCAAGCCUUCGAUCUGUAGCUGGUCUGAGAGGACGACCAGCCACACUGGGACUGAGACACGGCCCAGACUCCUACGGGAGGCAGCAGUGGGGAAUUUUGGACAAUGGGGGAAACCCUGAUCCAGCCAUGCCGCGUGAGUGAAGAAGGCCUUCGGGUUGUAAAGCUCUUUCAGCCGGAACGAAACGGUCACGGCUAAUACCUGUGACUACUGACGGUACCGGAAGAAGAAG